CACGGGGGGAGCAAGCGUUGUUCGGAAUCACUGGGCGUAAAGGGCGUGUAGGCGGUCGAGUAAGUGGAAUGUGAAAUACUCCGGCUCACCCGGAGCACUGCAUCCCAAACUGCUCGGCUUGAGUAUGGGAGAGGACAAGGGAAUUCCCGGUGUAGUGGUGAAAUGCGUAGAUAUCGGGAGGAACACCAGUGGCGAAGGCGGCUUCCUGGCCUGUUCUUGACGCUGAGGCGCGAAAGCUAGGGUAGCAAACGGG
This 253-nucleotide ribosomal RNA is filed under the name uncultured bacterium. RNAcentral's name for it is "partial 16S ribosomal RNA". It matches the Rfam family "Bacterial small subunit ribosomal RNA", at positions 524 to 776 of the family's 1533-position model. The record is from RNAcentral.